CUGGCUCAGAACGAACGCUGGUGGCGUGUCUAUACAUGCAAGUCGAGCGAGGCAGCAAUGCCUAGCGGCGAACGGGUGAGUAACGCGUAAGCAAUCUGCCCCAUAUCAGGAAAUACCCGUGCCAACGCGCGGUUAAUGUCCAGGAGCGUGGCCUUCCGCAUGGGAGGUUGACAAGAGAUUUAUCGGUAUGGGAUGAGCUUGCGUCCGAUUAGCUAGUUGGCGGGCAACGGCCCACCAAGGCGACGAUCGGUAGCCGGCCUGAGAGGGUGAUCGGCCACAUUGGGACUGAGAUACGGCCCAGACUCCUACGGGAGGCAGCAGUAGGGAAUAUUGCACAAUGGGGGAAACCCUGAUGCAGCAACGCCAACCGUGUGGGAAGAAGCAUUUCGGUGUGUAAACCACUGUCGUGAGGGAAUAAGGCGUCUUCUCGGAGACGUUGAAUGUACCUCGAAAGGAAGCACCGGCAAACUUCGUGCCAGCAGCGGC
This 486-nucleotide ribosomal RNA is filed under the name uncultured bacterium. RNAcentral describes it as "bacterial SSU rRNA". It matches the Rfam family "Bacterial small subunit ribosomal RNA", at positions 19 to 518 of the family's 1533-position model. The record is from RNAcentral.